GACGAACGCUGGCGGCGUGCUUAACACAUGCAAGUCGAACGGUGAAGCGCCUUCCUUUUUGGUGGGUGUGGAUGAGUGGCGAACGGGUGAGUAACACGUGAGUAACCUGCCCCCUUCUUCUGGAUAACCGCAUGAAAGUGUGGCUAAUACGGGAUAUUCUGGGUCUGUCGCAUGAUGGGUCUGGGAAAGAUAUUGUUUCGGUGGGGGAUGGGCUCGCGGCCUAUCAGCUUGUUGGUGGGGUGAUGGCCUACCAAGGCGGUGACGGGUAGCCGGCCUGAGAGGGUGGACGGUCACACUGGGACUGGGACACGGCCCAGACUCCUACGGGAGGCAGCAGUGGGGAAUAUUGCACAAUGGGCGCAAGCCUGAUGCAGCGACGCCGCGUGAGGGAUGGAGGCCUUCGGGUUGUGAACCUCUUUCGCCAGUGAAGCAGGCCUGCCUCGUUUGUGGGUGGGUUGACGGUAGCUGGAUAAGAAGCGCCGGCUAACUACGU
RNAcentral lists this ribosomal RNA (493 nucleotides) under uncultured bacterium. RNAcentral's name for it is "partial 16S ribosomal RNA". It matches the Rfam family "Bacterial small subunit ribosomal RNA", at positions 28 to 506 of the family's 1533-position model. The record is from RNAcentral.